UGCACGGUGGCGCAGUUGGUAGCACUGUUGCUUUGCAGUGCUAGAAGUGCUAGAAGCAAGAAGGUCCUGGGUUCAAUUCCCGGCCGGGGGUCUUUCUGCAU
This is a non-coding RNA of Crenichthys baileyi (White River springfish), 101 nucleotides long. NCBI's taxonomy places the organism in Eukaryota, Metazoa, Chordata, Actinopteri, Cyprinodontiformes, Goodeidae. The record is from the annotation of a GenBank genome assembly.